RNAcentral lists this unclassified non-coding RNA (222 nucleotides) under uncultured fungus. RNAcentral describes it as "sequence contains ITS1, 5.8S rRNA gene". The stretch from base 174 to 222 matches the Rfam family "5.8S ribosomal RNA", at positions 1 to 49 of the family's 154-position model. The record is from RNAcentral. Lineage: Eukaryota; Fungi.
UUUCCGUAGGUGAACCUGCGGAAGGAUCAUUACCUAGAGUUGUAGGCUUUGCCUGCUAUCUCUUACCCAUGUCUUUUGAGUACCUUACGUUUCCUCGGUGGGCUCGCCCGCCAAUGGGGACCUCGAAAACCUUUUGUAAUAAGCAGUAACAGUCGAUAAUACAAUCGUAUCAAAACUUCCAACAAUGGAUCUCUUGGUUCUGGCAUCGAUAAAGAACGCAGC